UGAUUAGUCAACAUGAAGUCAUUCCAGUGGGCCUUAAUCUAUCUAAUAUGACUGGCAUCCUUAUAAAACGAAAUUAGGACACAGAGACAUGCACACAGAGACAACAGGUGGUGAAGGUGUUGGCAGAGAUUGGGAGAUGCUUCCACGAGCUAAGGAAAGCCUAAGAUCAGUGCCAUCCACCAGAAAGUAGCUGAGAAGCCAGAAAGAGCCUCCCCAGCAGCCUUUCAGGAAAACCAACCCUGCUGGCACCUUCAUCUCAGACUUCCAGCCUCCAAAUCUGUGAGACAACACAUUUCUGCUGUUGGAACCACCCUGUCUGUGAUACUUUGCUAACACAGCUCUGUGCAUAAAUUGCAGCCAUUUCCUUUGACCAUGAAGAAGCUGGAAAAGGAAAGGAGGAAAAGAAGAUUGGUGACUCACAGAAGAAACUCGGCCCCACUGAGCUGGCUGGAGGGCUGUUCAGAGAGGGGAUGGAGAAUUGGAGCUGCCUCUUCUGUGCGUAUGAUAAAGAAAACGUAGGAGGGAAUGUUGCCUUCGAGGGCGGCCUCAAUGGCCCACACCCACAUCAUUGCCACAUCUUUCCUCCAAGGCGGACACCACUCUCAGAUGGAACUGGAAUUUUAACUACAAAGAAUUAAAGAUUUGGGGACUGUUUGAUUGCUGAUGUGAACAAACCAAACAAAAAAGACAUCUUGAGACAAUGGGGAAAAUUUGAACAGGGACUGAGCAUUAGAUAAAAUUAAAGAUUUAUUUUUGUCUUUACCAAAAGUGUCAAUGACACAGUGAUUUUGUCAAAGAUAAAAGGUCUUAUUGUCAAAGAUAAAGAGGUCAACGGUAAAAUGACCUGGCUUCUGGGAUUUAUUUUAAAAUAUGCUAGAAAAAAAAAUAGAGAGGUUGAGUUAAAACAACAUUGGCAAGCUGUCAAUGGUCAAGUAGUGAAUGAGAAACACAUGGAAAUUCACUGUAUUCGAUUUUAUGUAUGUUUGAACGUUUCCAUUAAAAAUCUUUUUAAAUAAAAAGAAUGGAAAGAUUGGAAAAAACACUCAGGUCUCCAAUCCUGAUAAAAAAGAAAUUUCUUCUUUUGGUGGGUAGGGGAGAGAAGUUUAAAACCCCCUGUUCCUGCUACAGGAAAUAAUAAUAAUAAAGUGGCAUGGAGAGAAUGAUAGGGGACUUAAGAGUUGAAAAAAUUUAGUUUAUAAUAGCUAAUAAACUUAGUAAUCAAUGCAUGUAAAAGCUUUUGUUCCAGGAACUGAAGGUACGACCCACCUUGACUCCAGGAGACCAUAAGCAGUUCCACCUUUGUUUCUCAGAAGGACUGCAAGCAACUCAAGGUGAUAUCUGAGCCAUUGUACUCCAGAGUGAGAUGACCACCACCCAGGACACAGCUUCAGACCACUGCCUGGGGCACAGCCUGACCCCACCGCCCAGGGCAAGAAUGCUAAAGUUGUUUUUUUCUAAUCCAAUUAAUUUUUCCCCCAAUUUCAACCCCCCUCAUUGUACUUUGUUUAUUCCCUGCUAUAAAAACCUUGGCCUGUAAAGACAAGACAAGAUGGUCUGUUAGGGUGUGAAUCUGCUGUCUUCUCAGAUCGCUGACCAUCUGAAUAAAGUGCCCAUAAAGAUUCAA
Artibeus jamaicensis (Jamaican fruit-eating bat) is the source of this 1624-nucleotide long non-coding RNA. RefSeq lists it as uncharacterized. The record is from RefSeq and is a predicted model, not a curated record. The transcript has 3 exons. NCBI's taxonomy places the organism in Eukaryota, Metazoa, Chordata, Mammalia, Chiroptera, Phyllostomidae.